This 71-nucleotide transfer RNA is filed under the name Loxodonta africana (African savanna elephant). It matches the Rfam family "tRNA". Rfam says of the family: Transfer RNA (tRNA) molecules are approximately 80 nucleotides in length. Their secondary structure includes four short double-helical elements and three loops (D, anti-codon, and T loops). Further hydrogen bonds mediate the characteristic L-shaped molecular structure. tRNAs have two regions of fundamental functional importance: the anti-codon, which is responsible for specific mRNA codon recognition, and the 3' end, to which the tRNAs corresponding amino acid is attached (by aminoacyl-tRNA synthetases). tRNAs cope with the degeneracy of the genetic code in two manners: having more than one tRNA (with a specific anti-codon) for a particular amino acid; and 'wobble' base-pairing, i.e. permitting non-standard base-pairing at the 3rd anti-codon position. The record is from Rfam by way of RNAcentral. Lineage: Eukaryota; Metazoa; Chordata; Mammalia; Proboscidea; Elephantidae.
GCAGUGGCUGUUCAGGGGUAGAAUCCUCACCUUCCAUGUGGGAGACCUGGGUUCAAUUCCUGGCCAAUGCG